RNAcentral lists this ribosomal RNA (545 nucleotides) under Epicoccum sp. PQG04. RNAcentral's name for it is "eukaryotic LSU rRNA". It matches the Rfam family "Eukaryotic large subunit ribosomal RNA", at positions 92 to 654 of the family's 3401-position model. Lineage: Eukaryota; Fungi; Ascomycota; Dothideomycetes; Pleosporales; Didymellaceae. The record is from RNAcentral.
AGUGAGCGGCACAGCUCAAAUUUGAAAUCUGGCGUCUUUGGCGUCCGAGUUGUAAUUUGCAGAGGGCGCUUUGGCAUUGGCAGCGGUCCAAGUUCCUUGGAACAGGACGUCACAGAGGGUGAGAAUCCCGUACGUGGUCGCUAGCCUUUACCGUGUAAAGCCCCUUCGACGAGUCGAGUUGUUUGGGAAUGCAGCUCUAAAUGGGAGGUAAAUUUCUUCUAAAGCUAAAUACUGGCCAGAGACCGAUAGCGCACAAGUAGAGUGAUCGAAAGAUGAAAAGCACUUUGGAAAGAGAGUUAAAAAGCACGUGAAAUUGUUGAAAGGGAAGCGCUUGCAGCCAGACUUGCCUGUAGUUGCUCAUCCGGGUUUUUACCCGGUGCACUCUUCUACGGGCAGGCCAGCAUCAGUUUGGGCGGUUGGAUAAAGGUCUCUGUCAUGUACCUUCUCUCGGGGAGAUCUUAUAGGGGAGACGACAUGCAACCAGCCUGGACUGAGGUCCGCGCAUCUGCUAGGAUGCUGGCGUAAUGGCUGUAAGCGGCCCGUCU